This 78-nucleotide transfer RNA is filed under the name Cystopteris protrusa. RNAcentral's name for it is "tRNA-Val". The record is from RNAcentral. Lineage: Eukaryota; Viridiplantae; Streptophyta; Polypodiopsida; Polypodiales; Cystopteridaceae.
UGGGUACAAAAUGUCGCAGGUUCAAAUCCUGUCAUCCCUAAAAACCCGAUGUCGUAGGUUCGAAUCCUACAGGGCGUG